GGUGAGUAACACGUAUCCAACCUGCCGUCUACUCUUGGACAGCCUUCUGAAAGGAAGGUUAAUACAAGAUGGCAUCAUGAGUCCGCAUGUUCACAUGAUUAAAGGUAUUCCGGUAGACGAUGGGGAUGCGUUCCAUUAGAUAGUAGGCGGGGUAACGGCCCACCUAGUCUUCGAUGGAUAGGGGUUCUGAGAGGAAGGUCCCCCACAUUGGAACUGAGACACGGUCCAAACUCCUACGGGAGGCAGCAGUGAGGAAUAUUGGUCAAUGGGCGAGAGCCUGAACCAGCCAAGUAGCGUGAAGGAUGACUGCCCUAUGGGUUGUAAACUUCUUUUAUAAAGGAAUAAAGUCGGGUAUGCAUACCCGUUUGCAUGUACUUUAUGAAUAAGGAUCGGCUAACUCCGUGCCAGCAGCCGCGGUAAUACGGAGGAUCCGAGCGUUAUCCGGAUUUAUUGGGUUUAAAGGGAGCGUAGAUGGAUGUUUAAGUCAGUUGUGAAAGUUUGCGGCUCAACCGUAAAAUUGCAGUUGAUACUGGAUAUCUUGAGUGCAGUUGAGGCAGGCGGAAUUCGUGGUGUAGCGGUGAAAUGCUU
This 588-nucleotide ribosomal RNA is filed under the name uncultured Bacteroidales bacterium. RNAcentral's name for it is "bacterial SSU rRNA". It matches the Rfam family "Bacterial small subunit ribosomal RNA", at positions 105 to 691 of the family's 1533-position model. Lineage: Bacteria; Pseudomonadati; Bacteroidota; Bacteroidia; Bacteroidales. The record is from RNAcentral.